Molecule: ribosomal RNA, 253 nt
Filed under: uncultured bacterium
Lineage: Bacteria
Description: partial 16S ribosomal RNA
Rfam family: Bacterial small subunit ribosomal RNA
Source: RNAcentral
GACAGAGGUGCCGAGCGUUAGGCGGAAUCACUGGGCUUAAAGCGUGUGUAGGCGGAUCGUUAAGUACCUUGUGAAAUCCCACGGCUCAACCGUGGAACUGCUUGGUAUACUGGCGAUCUUGAGCCACCUAGGGGCAACCGGAACAAAUGGUGGAGCGGUGAAAUGCGUAGAUAUCAUUUGGAACGCCAAUGGUGAAAACAGGUUGCUGGGGGUGUGCUGACGCUGAGACACGAAAGCCAGGGGAGCGAACGGG